CUACUAUAUUAACCUGCAACAAACAUCUUUUUUCUCCUAAUUUUGAUUUUUUUUCUGGAUUAACGAUGGGCUGACACGUUUACUUUAGACUGUUUGAUUUCCACAUAUGUUUUUCUAUGUGUACGUUCGAUGUUCCGUACGAUUUUUACAAAGUCUGUGCACAGUAGUAUGCAGUUCUUCCCCAUCCUUAAACGCGUGGCUGUAGCCUUGCCCAGAUAGUCAAAGCGGUGCCCAUGCCGCAGAAGAUUGCAUCGAUUCGCGAGCGAACCAGCCAAUUUGCCUGCUUCUCUUCCACUCCUCUCUUCCAUCUUCUUCUUUUCUCCCGAUGGCCGCCACGCCGGCCUGCUCCCCUUCCGCCCUACGCAGGCGCCCUCUCUAUUUUCCAUCAGCAGCGGCCGUGCCAUGACAUCGGGGCGGGGCGUGCGUCGUGACCUAGGGAGCCAGCUGUGGUGGAGGCCACUCCGUCGGCGUGGAGGCAGGCCGGAAAGCAGGAAGAGGGCCACACCUCCUCUAUUCCUCAUCAGCAGUCGGCUGCGUCCGCGCCAUGGCAUCGGGUUGAGGGGCGCGCCGAUCUGCGUGUGGCUCGACCUCGGGAGGCAACUGUGGUGGCGGCGACGCCGAGGGCAUGGAGGCGGGCCGGCAAGCAGGGAAAGGGGAGGCUAGAUACAACCGCCUCGACGACGGGUCCAUCCACGACCGAUGACCAACCACCAGCGUCUAGAUGCGCAGCUUUCCUACUCUUUUCUCCAAGCUGUGGCUAGCUUGCUCCUCUCCGUUGAGUACCACGCCGCCUUCAUCGCCAGGGAGGGCGUCGCGCCGGAUGUGUGCUCGGCCCCCACUGUCUCACACCCGAGCAUGGCGACGGACGCGCGCGUGGGGUCAGCGGCCAGGCUGGAGUGGCACUGGGUAAGCUCGAUGCCAGGAAACGUCGGUGGCUGACGCUGAACGGGUGAGCCGGGCGUUCUCGCCGCUGGAGGCGGCAGCCGGCUGGAGGUGUUCGUGAUCCGAUGGCCGACAGUUGUGGGGGAUCGAUAAGGUGGAGAUGGUCAGAUGGACUCCUCACAGCAGACGAGGAGGGGCUGCUGGGAGGAAAUCGCCUCCACAAUCCCAGUCAGACUCCACCGAUCCACCUACCUCGAACCGCGCCCGCCCUGAAUGCCUCAUCCAAGCUCACCAUCGGUGAUGAGACCAGCACCGCUGCCGCUUCACCGCCAGUGUUCUUGCAGGAGGGCCUCGCCCAUGCCGACGCACACGCCCGUCAUCCCGUGCCCCUCGCCGUCACAGCUCUUUCCAUCUGAGCGAGCCGACUCUGCUCUUUCCAAAGAACCUGCAAUUUCGAGUUCUGUACCAUCUUGUGAAGGCCCCUGUAUACACCUACAUGCACUGCAAUCUGAAGCGACGCGGUCCUUCUCUUUCCAAGGAGCU
Lolium perenne is the source of this 1425-nucleotide non-coding RNA. The record is from RefSeq and is a predicted model, not a curated record. NCBI's taxonomy places the organism in Eukaryota, Viridiplantae, Streptophyta, Magnoliopsida, Poales, Poaceae.